AGAACACUGGUGAGACCUCACUUGGAGUAUUGUACACAGUACUGGAGACCGUAUCUUCAGAAGGAUAUUGAUACCUUAGAGAGGGUUCAGAGAAGGGCUACUAAACUGGUUCAUGGAUUGCGGGAUAAAACUUACCAGGAAAGGUUAAAGGAUCUUAACAUGUAUAGCUUGGAGGAAAGACGAGACAGGGGGGUAUGAUAGAAACAUUUAAAUAUAUAAAGGGAAUCAACACAGUAAAGGAGGAGACUAUAUUUAAAAGAAGAAAAACUACCACAACAAGAGGACAUAGUCUUAAAUUAGAUGGACAAAGGUUUAAAAAUAAUAUCAGGAAGUAUUACUUUACUGAGAGGGUAGUGGAUGCAUGGAAUAGCCUUCCAGCUGAAGUGGUAGAAGUUAACACAGUAAAGGAGUUUAAGCAUGCGUGGGAUAGGCAUAAGGCUAUCCUAACUAUAAGAUAAGGCUAGG
Non-coding RNA from Pelobates cultripes (western spadefoot toad), 465 nucleotides. NCBI's taxonomy places the organism in Eukaryota, Metazoa, Chordata, Amphibia, Anura, Pelobatidae. The record is from the annotation of a GenBank genome assembly.